AUUGAACGCUGGCGGCAGGCCUAACACAUGCAAGUCGAACGAGUGGCGGACGGGUGAGUAAUGUCUGGGAAACUGCCUGAUGGAGGGGGAUAACUACUGGAAACGGUAGCUAAUACAGCAUACCAUCGGAUGUGCCCAGAUGGGAUUAGCUAGUAGGUGGGGUAAAGGCGAACCUAGGCGACGAUCCCUAGCUGGGCUGAGAGGAUGACAAGCCACACUGGAACGGAGACACGGUCCAGACUCCUCCGGGAUGCAGCAGUGGUGAAUAUUGCACAAUGGGCGCAAGCCUGAUGCAGCCAUGCCGCGUGUAUGAAGAAGGCCUUCGGGUUGUAAAGUACUUUCAGCGGGGAGGCGUUACCCGCAGAAUAAGCACCGGCUAACUCCGUGCCAGCAGCCGCGGUAAUAC
This 406-nucleotide ribosomal RNA is filed under the name uncultured bacterium. Its description in RNAcentral is "partial 16S ribosomal RNA". It matches the Rfam family "Bacterial small subunit ribosomal RNA", at positions 30 to 526 of the family's 1533-position model. The record is from RNAcentral.